RNAcentral lists this ribosomal RNA (404 nucleotides) under Fusobacteriota bacterium. RNAcentral describes it as "Fusobacteria bacterium partial 16S ribosomal RNA". It matches the Rfam family "Bacterial small subunit ribosomal RNA", at positions 355 to 776 of the family's 1533-position model. Lineage: Bacteria; Fusobacteriati; Fusobacteriota. The record is from RNAcentral.
UGGGGAAUAUUGCACAAUGGGCGAAAGCCUGAUGCAGCGACGCCGCGUGAGUGAAGAAGUAUUUCGGUAUGUAAAGCUCUAUCAGCAGGGAAGAAAAUGACGGUACCUGACUAAGAAGCCCCGGCUAACUACGUGCCAGCAGCCGCGGUAAUACGUAGGGGGCAAGCGUUAUCCGGAUUUACUGGGUGUAAAGGGAGCGUAGACGGCGAAGCAAGUCUGAAGUGAAAACCCAGGGCUCAACCCUGGGACUGCUUUGGAAACUGUUUUGCUAGAGUGUCGGAGAGGUAAGUGGAAUUCCUAGUGUAGCGGUGAAAUGCGUAGAUAUUAGGAGGAACACCAGUGGCGAAGGCGGCUUACUGGACGAUAACUGACGUUGAGGCUCGAAAGCGCGGGGAGCAAACAGG